GCCGGGUAUGGUGGCUCAUGCCUGUAAUCCCAGUGCUUUGGGAGGCUGAGGCAGGUGGAUCACUUGAGGUCAGGAGUUUGAGACCAGCCUGACCAACAUGGUGAAACCCUGUCUCUA
This 117-nucleotide non-coding RNA is filed under the name Chlorocebus sabaeus (green monkey). Lineage: Eukaryota; Metazoa; Chordata; Mammalia; Primates; Cercopithecidae. The record is from Rfam by way of RNAcentral.